RNAcentral lists this transfer RNA (75 nucleotides) under Rhodymenia pseudopalmata. RNAcentral describes it as "tRNA-Asn". It matches the Rfam family "tRNA". Rfam says of the family: Transfer RNA (tRNA) molecules are approximately 80 nucleotides in length. The record is from RNAcentral. Lineage: Eukaryota; Rhodophyta; Florideophyceae; Rhodymeniales; Rhodymeniaceae.
UUCUUGGUAGCUUAAAUUAGGUAAAGCGUAUGGCUGUUAACCAUUAGAUUAUAGGUUCAAAUCCUAUCCAAGAAG